RNAcentral lists this ribosomal RNA (429 nucleotides) under Fusobacteriota bacterium. RNAcentral describes it as "Fusobacteria bacterium partial 16S ribosomal RNA". It matches the Rfam family "Bacterial small subunit ribosomal RNA", at positions 355 to 776 of the family's 1533-position model. Lineage: Bacteria; Fusobacteriati; Fusobacteriota. The record is from RNAcentral.
UGGGGAAUAUUGCGCAAUGGGCGAAAGCCUGACGCAGCGACGCCGCGUGAGGGAUGAAGGUUUUCGGAUCGUAAACCUCUGUCAGAAGGGAAGAAACCGCACUGUGCUAAUCAGCAGUGCCUUGACGGUACCUUCAAAGGAAGCACCGGCUAACUCCGUGCCAGCAGCCGCGGUAAUACGGAGGGUGCAAGCGUUAAUCGGAAUUACUGGGCGUAAAGCGCACGUAGGCUGCUUUGUAAGUCAGGGGUGAAAUCCCACGGCUCAACCGUGGAACUGCCUUUGAUACUGCUUAGCUUGAGUCCGGGAGAGGGUGGCGGAAUUCCAGGUGUAGGAGUGAAAUCCGUAGAUAUCUGGAGGAACAUCAGUGGCGAAGGCGGCCACCUGGACCGGUAUUGACGCUGAGGUGCGAAAGCGUGGGGAGCAAACAGG